This 253-nucleotide ribosomal RNA is filed under the name uncultured bacterium. RNAcentral describes it as "partial 16S ribosomal RNA". It matches the Rfam family "Bacterial small subunit ribosomal RNA", at positions 524 to 776 of the family's 1533-position model. The record is from RNAcentral.
UACGUAGGUGACAAGCGUUGUCCGGAUUUACUGGGCGUAAAGAGCGCGCAGGCGGUCGUUCAAGUCGAGUGUGAAAGCCCCCGGCUCAACUGGGGAGGGUCACUCGAUACUGAUCGACUCGAAGGCAGGAGAGGGAAGUGGAAUUCCCGGUGUAGUGGUGAAAUGCGUAGAUAUCGGGAGGAACACCAGUGGCGAAGGCGACUUCCUGGACCAAUACUGACGCUCAGGUGCGAAAGCGUGGGGAGCAAACAGG